This 484-nucleotide ribosomal RNA is filed under the name uncultured bacterium. Its description in RNAcentral is "partial 16S ribosomal RNA". It matches the Rfam family "Bacterial small subunit ribosomal RNA", at positions 30 to 507 of the family's 1533-position model. The record is from RNAcentral.
AUUGAACGCUGGCGGCAUGCCUAACACAUGCAAGUCGAGCGGAUUCAGGCAGCUUGCUCCUGGCUUCUGCGGCAGACGGGUGAGUAAUGCCUAGGAAUCUGCCUGCUAGUGGGGGAUCACGUCCGGAAACGGGCGCUAAUCCCUCAUACUUCCUGAGUGAGAACGUGGGGGAUUUUCGGACCUCACGCUAUCAGCUGAGCCUAUGUCGGAUUAGCUAUUUGGUGGGGUAAAGGCCUACCAAGUCGACGAUCCGUACCUGGUCUGAGAGGAUGAUCAGUCACACUGGAACUGAGACACGGUCCAGACUCAUACGGGAGGCAGCAGUGGGGAAUAUUGGACAAUGGGCGAAAGCCUGAUCCAGCAAUGCCGCGUGGAGGAAGAAGGGCUUCGGAUUGUAAAGCACUUUAAGAUGGGAGGAAGGGGAGUAAGUUAAUACCUGGCGGUAUUGACGGUACCAAAAGAAUAAGCACCGGCUAACUACGUG